AUUAUUGAAAGACAAUUAGAAUUAAUAAUACAAUAUAUUAUAUAAAAGUAUUUAUACAUUUUUAAAUUUUAGAUUCCUUGGUAUAAGUAACUUGGUUAUGCCUUUAUCCCUCGAUUAAUUCGCAUAAAACGUAGCUGAUAAUCGAACGUUCACUUUUCGACGAGAUACUUGCUACUUCAAUGGCGUAAGAAUUAUGCGAAAGUUCCUCUUGUCGCGGUUGAUGGCGCUGUGAUGUGGAUGUGGGUAAGCCGACAAUUUCAACGGAACCAAUGAAGUUACGACUUCCACCGGUAGAAACGACGGUUUAACUGCGCGUAUAAACUGCUACCUUCAGAAAUGUUGUCAAACUUCAACGUUCGCCCUCUUUCACAACCGUUCGAACUAUUAAACUGUGCUAACAUUUUGCACCUGUCGUGGAUCGAGUGAUUGCGUCACGUGAUGAGCAUUAACGAUAAUUGAUUAGACCUUUUUGCAAAGAUUUCGGUUUUGCUGGAAAGACUCGGAAUUUAGUAAUUGAAUUUCACUUUUUCUGCCCGAAUGACGGUGAUAUAUCGCAACUCAUCAGCAUCUCAUAUUCUGCGAGAGAUAAAUUCAUCGUGAGAGUGACUUAAACUUAUCCACAAGAAAAGUGAAUAGAUACGUUUUCUAGAAACUCGGCUCAAUUUAAUCAGUCAGUGUAAUCUGAUCCUAUUGACAAAGGCAGUGAGUUGUUUGGUUAAUUAUAAGGAGAGCAAACGAGAAAGACAUAACCUACAAUACAAUAAUUCAGAUCCUAGAUUAUUUCUCUUAGAUUAAUCAGGUUUUUAUUUCAGAUCCUUUUAAAAAAAUGAAAUACUGAGACAAUCAACUUUAUACGAGAUUUUCGGUGUACCUCGAAUUUCAACGCGAUUUUCGAUCGGAAGUAUUAAAGGAAAGGUCGUUAAGCUCGUGCACAGAAAGGGUCCAAAGGAUCCUUGUAUAACUUAUUUACCAACGUUCGCAUAUAGAGAUAGAUUCGGUAAACUACAGGGUUUGGCGUGUACACACGAAGGAAGGCGCAAGAUUGCAACGGGGAUUAAAAUAUUUCAAAAGGCCAGGGGUGGCCAGGUUUUCGGCCAAACGCGUAGAGUAAUGGUUCUUUUAAAUUUCUAAGCUGACCCAGAUACCCGCGCGGGUCGAGAGACAGAAGGUGUGUACACGAGCCACUCCUGUGAGAUCUUGCUUGAAGCAAGAUAAAAAAAAAAAGAAGCCUCCUCUUUCUCUUUAACGAUCAAGAAUUUCUUUUGGCGAUCUUUCUGCGGUAUUCAUAUUAAUGGUCGUUGGCGUCUUCCAAAGGGUGAUCACGUUUCUGCUGUAGCUGUAUUUCAACCUCGAUGUCGGCGGGGAUAAUCGUUUCAAGUGACCGUGGUAAUUAUUCGCAAACCGUUUUCAAAGCGUCUUGCCUUGGAAUUGGGUCGAGUUUAUUCCGUUUCGAGGGACGGAUAAAGAAUCUUGAGAAUAUCGGGAAUUUGAUUAUGUAAAAAUAUCGGACGAGAAAGAAUGUAUAUAGUUUCGUAGAAUUGUUAAAUAUGCAUUCGUGGGAGAAAAGAGACUUUAUCGACUUGAGGUAACUUUUCAUUUAAUUAAGAAUCUUGACAGAUGUAUUAUUAAUCGUGAAAAGUAAGAAAAGAAACUAUCUCGUGAUAUAUGAACCGUUUAAAACUUGAUCAAACUCUAUUAAAAUUAGAAAAAAUUUGAACCAUUGCAAUUCCGAAAAUAGCGACUUCCGGUCAACGAAUGAAAGAUCGUUGGAAGCGUGGAACUUUACCCUUUAAAACGAAUCUUCGUUCGUCACGAUACGACUUCCGGUUCUCGAGAUAUCAUCGUGUAAAGAAAAGGUAAUUUUCAAUCAUUUAUCUCGAAUCCCAUUGAAUUCUGUUAUUGAAAUUAGGAAAAGUUUGUAACCGCUGUAACUUUGAAAAUAAUAACUUUCGAACAACGAAUAAAAGAUCAUUAGAAUCGUGAAAUCUUGCUCUUUAAAACGGUUUCUCAUUCGUCACAAUACGUCUUCCGGUUCCUGAGAUAUCGUCGUAUAAAGAAAACCGUAAUUUUUAAUCGUUCAUCGUCUCGUUUACCGACCUAUCCUUACCGACUUAUUCCAAGCUUCGAACAAGCGGCAGAAACGGUUCGUAGAAAAAUAUAAUUAUUUCGUCUUUCUUCGUGAUGCGUAUAUAUAAAUUAAUCGUACGUGAUUUUUAUUUUUUAUACAAUUUAUAUCAAUAAUCCGAGAGGAAGGGAAGAAAUUAGAAAAAAAUAAAAGAAUGAAAUUAUAAAGAUUUGUGUUUGAAAACAUAUUUCAAUAUUUACGCGAGUGUUUACUUGGACAAUCGUAGCGUUGGUCAUUUUUCCUUCGCGCAACUCCACCCUAUAUUUACAAGAGUUCGCGCUUUGUCAUUGUUUUCCCUCGACUCGUAUUUCUCCAUUCCACCAGCCUCUUUCUUUUCUUCUUUUUUUUUUUUUCCUGUUGUUGAAAACCAACAGGGAAUUGGAACAAUGAGCUCGUUUAUAGUGACGAUUUAAUUUCGUUAAUUAACCGGGCACUUUGCUUCCAAGCGAAAACAAUUACGAUAUAGAAAAAAAAACUAAAAACAUGAUUCGUAUAAAAAAUUUUUAACCUCCAUUUAGAAAUAAUAACAUAAUUUUUUUGUUUUGUUUUCAAACAACAACGUUCGUCGCAACAACAAUAAUUUUAACGUGAUGCAGUAUUUCUAGGAAAAUAUGAACGUUCCUCGUUAAAUUGGAAUAACAAUGCAAUUCUAACUUGUGCCAUUUAUUCUUAUAUUCGUUUCAUUGAAAGCUAAUGGAAAAGAAUUUAUGGAUUUACGCGUAUUUUCUGAUGGAAGGAAAAAAUAAAUCGUUUGUAAUAAAACAACGAGGAUAAAAAUAAAAAUGAACGGGAAAUAUAUUUUAUUGCAAAUU
RNAcentral lists this long non-coding RNA (2937 nucleotides) under Apis mellifera (honey bee). RNAcentral's name for it is "uncharacterized LOC113219073, transcript variant X1". Lineage: Eukaryota; Metazoa; Arthropoda; Insecta; Hymenoptera; Apidae. The record is from RNAcentral.